This 201-nucleotide ribosomal RNA is filed under the name uncultured bacterium. Its description in RNAcentral is "partial 16S ribosomal RNA". It matches the Rfam family "Bacterial small subunit ribosomal RNA", at positions 1292 to 1500 of the family's 1533-position model. The record is from RNAcentral.
UUCGGACUGGAGUCUGCAACCCGACUCCACGAAGUUGGAUUCGCUAGUAAUCGCGCAUCAGCCAUGGCGCGGUGAAUACGUUCCCGGGCCUUGUACACACCGCCCGUCAAGCCAUGGGAGCCGGGGGCGCCUGAAGUCCGGGACCGCGAGGACCGGCCUAGGGCGAAACUGGUAACUGGGGCUAAGUCGUAACAAGGUAUC